RNA transcript from Choloepus didactylus (southern two-toed sloth), 2063 nucleotides. It is a transcript of the gene named endoplasmic reticulum oxidoreductase 1 beta, with no coding region annotated. The transcript has 18 exons. Lineage: Eukaryota; Metazoa; Chordata; Mammalia; Pilosa; Megalonychidae. The record is from RefSeq and is a predicted model, not a curated record.
UAUGUACUUGUAGCACUUCCAUUCCUGAGUAUAUAACCUGGAGAAAUUCUUGCUCGUGUGCACCAAGAGACACGUGCAAAGUCUUUAUGGUAAUACCAAUACUUAGCCAUAUCUGGAAACAGCCUAAAUAUAUAUUGUAUUCAUUUCUUAUUGUUGCUGUAACAAAUUACCACAAACUUGGUAGCUUAAAAUAUUACAUAUUUAUUGUCUUAUAGUUCUUCAUGCCAGAAGUCUGGAAUUGGGACCUUACAGGAUUAAAAAUCAAGGUCAGUGGAGUCCUAGAUGAUUGCUUGUGUGAUAUUGUCAGCAUUGAUAACUUCAAUACCUACAAAAUCUUCCCCAAAAUUAAAAAAUUGCAGGAGCGAGACUAUUUCCGUUAUUAUAAGGUUAAUCUGAAGCGACCAUGUCCUUUCUGGGCAGAAGAUGGCCAUUGUUCAAUAAAAGACUGUCAUGUAGAACCCUGCCCUGAGAGUAAAAUCCCAGUCGGAAUUAAAGCUGGAAGUUCUAAUAAGUAUUUGAAAGUGGCAAACAAUACCAAAGAAUUAGAAGAUUGUGAACAAGCUAAUAAACUGGGGGCAAUUAACAGCACAUUAAGUAAUCAAAGCAAAGAAGCUUUCAUUGACUGGGCAAGAUAUGAUGAUUCACAGGAUCACUUUUGUGAACUUGAUGAUGAGAGAUCUCCUGCUGCUCAAUAUGUAGACCUGUUGCUGAACCCCGAGCGCUACACUGGAUAUAAAGGGCCCUCUGCAUGGAGAGUAUGGAACAGCAUCUAUGAGGAAAACUGUUUCAAGCCUCGAUCUGUUUAUCGUCCUUUGAAUCCUCUGGCACCCAGCCGAGGAGAAGAUGAUGGAGAAUCAUUCUACACAUGGCUAGAAGGUUUGUGUCUGGAGAAAAGAGUCUUCUAUAAGCUUAUAUCAGGACUUCAUGCUAGUAUCAAUUUACAUCUAUGCUCAAAUUAUCUUUUGGAAGAAACCUGGGGUAAACCUAGUUGGGGACCUAAUAUUAAAGAAUUUAAACGCCGCUUUGACCCUGUGGAAACCAAGGGAGAAGGUCCAAGAAGGCUAAAGAAUCUGUACUUUUUAUACUUGAUUGAGCUUCGAGCUUUAUCAAAGGUGGCUCCAUAUUUUGAGCGCUCAGUUGUUGAUCUUUACACUGGAAAUGUAGAAGAAGAUGCUGAGACAAAAAACCUUCUAUUGAAUAUCUUUCAAGAUACAAAGUCCUUUCCCAUGCACUUUGAUGAGAAAUCCAUGUUUGCAGGUGACAAAAAGGGAGCCACAUCGUUAAAGGAGGAAUUCCGAUUGCAUUUCAAGAAUAUCUCCCGUAUAAUGGACUGUGUUGGAUGUGACAAAUGCAGGUUAUGGGGGAAAUUACAGACUCAGGGUUUAGGAACUGCCCUGAAGAUAUUAUUCUCUGAAAAAGAAAUUCAAAAGCUUCCAGAGAACAGCCCAUCCAAAGGCUUCCAGCUCACUCGACAGGAGAUAGUUGCUCUUUUAAAUGCUUUUGGAAGGCUUUCUACAAGCAUAAGAGAGUUACAGAAUUUUAAAGUCUUAAUACAAACACAGUAGCUCUGUGUGUCACCUUGGAUAAUAUGGAACUGUCAAUAUGAUGAAUGGCCCUUCAAAUGUAUAAUUGCAGAGGUUCCUCAAGAAUCUCCAGGACUUCAGUUUCAUUGGUUUUUAUUUAAGAUUUUAGUUGCUGUUUUUUUUUUUUGCUGUAAAGGAUCUGCCUUGAUAAAGGUGCCAUUGUAUCUAAGAAAGGACAACCAUUUUGAUCUUCAUCAGCAUUGCCUUCAGCUGGAAAUUUGGGAACAGUUCACAAUAAAAACCUCUCAGCAGUUUGCAAACUGAAGUACCUGCAGAAACCAUAGCUAUUCACCAAAAUACACAGAUUGGGUACAUGGUAUCAUGGAAAUUACUUGGUAAAACAAAACACAAGUUCAUGUGCACUCUAUCUUAAGUAAUAUCUAUAGGCACAGCUCUGACUUUGAACAGAAGUCCAAAUAAUUUGCUGUUGUACAACCACCAGAUUCUAGGAAAUGUGAAUUAAAGUAAAUGUUUCUGCAA